Molecule: ribosomal RNA, 254 nt
Filed under: uncultured bacterium
Lineage: Bacteria
Description: partial 16S ribosomal RNA
Rfam family: Bacterial small subunit ribosomal RNA
Source: RNAcentral
UACGUAGGGGGCGAGCGUUGUCCGAAUUUACUGGGCGUAAAGAGCGCGUAGGCGGGUUCUUAAGUGAGAGGUGAAAGGUUCAGGGCUCAACCCGAACAGUGCCUUUCAUACUGGGAGCCUUGAGUGUGGGAGAGGCGAGUGGAAUUUCUGGUGUAGCGGUGAAAUGCGUAGAUAUCAGAAGGAACACCCAUGGCGAAGGCAGCUCGCUGGCCUACAACUGACGCUGAGGCGCGAAAGCGUGGGGAGCGAACAGG